RNAcentral lists this ribosomal RNA (164 nucleotides) under uncultured bacterium. Its description in RNAcentral is "partial 16S rRNA". It matches the Rfam family "Bacterial small subunit ribosomal RNA", at positions 355 to 511 of the family's 1533-position model. The record is from RNAcentral.
UAGGGAAUCUUCCACAAUGGACGAAAGUCUGAUGAAGCAACGCCGCGUGAGUGAAGAAGGGUUUCGGCUCGUAAAACUCUGUUGUUAAAGAAGAACAUAUCUGAGAGUAACUGUUCAGGUAUUGACGGUAUUUAACCAGAAAGCCACGGCUAACUACGUGCCAA